RNAcentral lists this signal recognition particle RNA (287 nucleotides) under Cebus imitator (Panamanian white-faced capuchin). RNAcentral's name for it is "Metazoan signal recognition particle RNA (ENSCCAG00000014269.1)". It matches the Rfam family "Metazoan signal recognition particle RNA". Rfam says of the family: The signal recognition particle (SRP) is a universally conserved ribonucleoprotein. It is involved in the co-translational targeting of proteins to membranes. The record is from Rfam by way of RNAcentral. Lineage: Eukaryota; Metazoa; Chordata; Mammalia; Primates; Cebidae.
GCCAGGCACGGUGGCGCAUGCCUGUAGUCCCAGCUACUCGGGAGGCUGAGGUGGGAGGAUCGCUUGAGCCCAGGAGUUCUGGGCUAUAGUGCGCUAUGCCAAUCGGGUGUCCACACUAAGUUCAGCAUCAUUAUGGUCACCUCCCGGGAGUGGGGGACCACCAGGUUGCCUAAGCAAGGGUGAACCGGCCCAGGUCAGAAAUGGAGCAGGUCAAAACUAUAUAUCAUUCCCCGCCCCCCACUUGAGGGUUGGCUGGUCCUGUGAAUAUUAUGGAAUAUCAUUCCUGU